RNAcentral lists this transfer RNA (73 nucleotides) under Ovis aries (sheep). It matches the Rfam family "tRNA". From Rfam's summary of the family: Transfer RNA (tRNA) molecules are approximately 80 nucleotides in length. Lineage: Eukaryota; Metazoa; Chordata; Mammalia; Artiodactyla; Bovidae. The record is from Rfam by way of RNAcentral.
UCUCUGGUAGUCCAGUGGCUAAGACUCCAUGCCCCCAAUGCAGAAUGCCCAGGUUCGACCCCUGGUCAGGGAA